GAUCAUGGAAUAACCGUACAUUAACUUGUCAGAUAAUUGAAUCGUUUCUUAUCCUGGAAUUGAAUAUAUAUAUAACCCUAAUGCCCAAAUCACAGUUUCUUCUCAUCUCGUCCCACCUUCAAUUUGUCCUCUCAAAUCCCCCUUACGUUCUCACUCCACCCUCUGCCGGCGACAGUGGUUCCAGGGGCUGUGGUAGCUGUGGUAUUGGUGGUCGUCAAAGGCCAACGGCUAGGAUUUGCCAUGAAACACUGUAGUUAUCGAAUUACACUCUCUAUUUGCUGAAGAUUUUUAUCGAUUCUGUGUAUUGUAGCAAGGAUGUUGGUUACUUAUUUUCAUCUUUUUAGAUUUCAACAAGUUCUAGGUCUUGAAACUGAAAUUAGAUUGUUGAAAUCGCUAGAUCUUGAGUCACUGGUAUUCUGAUAGGUGGAACCGUGAUUAUAGAGACGAUGGGCCGCCUGGAGUUGACCGGGUCAUCGGUUCCUUGCCGUCUAGCUUCUCGCCUAGGUACCCUGGUUAUGACUCUAAAGGGUUGAGUUAUCGAAGACGAAGCACGUUGAUACGUGAUGAUGAUCAGUGGCCCCCUUACGCAUCUGACUCUUCGUCUCACCGAAGGGAGCCAUGAAGACCGCCACCAUUGUAGUUGGCGGUAAGCUUAAUCGCCAUGGGGGCUGUUUUCUAUUUAGGGCCAGAAAAAGCAUCAAGUGUACAUGGGAACUCGAGUGCAUGGCUUCGGGUCAAGAAAUUGAUGAUUCUUCAAAUAAUAACAGCUCGCCCAAAAAAGUAUACAAGGAUCCAGACGAUGGGUGUCAAAGAUUUUUGCUUGAACAUGAAUUUGUCCAGUACCUUGCUAAUCCAACCUAUAUUCACUGUAUCCACAUUGUCCCUACUUUCUGGAACUUCUUCAAAAUGCAAGUAUUUGAUUAUUGAUUAAGUAUUAACUAACGAAAGUAUUUGAUUGGCGUUUCUAUUUUUUAAAGUAUGAUGUUUAUGGUAAUGUCUUCUUCGCUGCUGAUGAGUUGUUCCUGGUGACAGAACUGUUGGGUCCCUGGGUAAGUUCGUACCCCGUGAAACUCAGUUGGCUCAAGAUCUACACACAUCGCUCCCGUAAUGUAUUUUACGAACCAGUCUCGCUGAAAAACUUGUUAAAGGCAUCAUCUCUAGCCUAACCAAUGUGUACAACAAUGUACUCUCAUCUCUGCAAAAGUUUGCUGGUCAAAAUAGUUCAAAAAAAGAGUAAGUUUGUAACUUAUUGUUGUUCAAUAAGCUGGUUCAAAUUAAGCACUUGAAUUAUUUAACUAAAUGAAAAAAUAAAAUAAAAUUGAAAUAUGAUUCUGUAAAAAAUCUGCAAUGAAUGUCAUGCAUGUUGUUGGUGUUCCACUCGGUGGAAGUAACAGACUUUAUAAAACAAUCUCUCUAUAAAAGCCAAGGUAAACUUUAAAGAAGAAGUAACAAGCUUUUUACUUGCAUUUUUGGUCCUUUUGGUUUGAUUGAAUUUUUGGCCUCUUGGCUACAUUAAGUUGCACUUUGGGUUGUUUUAUAGUAGCAAUUUGGUUUUUUUUUUUUUUUUGCUUUAGACCACUUUUCAAACCUGGCCGAGUUGGCUCGGAAUUUAUUGUGCCCAGUUUGAGCUCAGUAUUUUAGCUUGAUUUUGUAUUCAAGACUUAGUUGACAAUUAGGCGAAGCAUAAUGCUUUAUCAUAAUUCUGGAGUUUUAUUCUGCAUCUUUUUAGUAUUAUUGUUACAUGUUCUUUUAAAUGGAAUAAAAAAAUCAAAGUUACCCACUCAUCUUUUAGUUGUUAACGUGUUUAUUUUAAGUCUACCUUGGUAAAUGGUGUUUGGUAACCAGUGAAGACAAUGGUGGUGUUUUCUAGCAGUUAAGCAGCGGCAUCAACAUCUCUGUAAGGCUUUGUGUCAAGAGGAGAAGUGUCUCACUGCAAGGGCCGAAGCAUGAUGGCUAUUAAGCGUAUUGAUCCGAAGUAUGGACAAGGAAUCCCUAAGUUCUUGAAAAAGAUCAGGACUCUUUCCUGUUACAGGCAUGAAAAUAUUGUUUCUCUUCUGGGAUUUGUUACCAAGGGGAUGAGAUGAUCCUUGUGUACGAGCAUGUCUCGUGGAAGCCUUGACCGCUAUUUGGACUCCUCUCAUCUCACGUGGUCCCAACGUCUGAAGAUAUGUUUGGAUGCCGCAAAGGGGCUAAGAUCUUCAGCUUGAUGUCAAAGGUUGCCGAGAUGUGUAUGCCUCAUUUGACAAGUAUGUUGAAGUAGAAAGGCUUGAAGGUGACAACAAAUAUCAUGCUGAACAACAUGGGUUACACAGGAUGCAAAGAAGGGCGUCCUGUUCAUCGAUUUCCCACCUGCUCUAAAGAUAGUUGUAUUAGGCUCAAGUAAUAUAAUUUGUAGAUCAGUGAGAUAACGAAAAAAACUAACAAACAUGCGUCAAAUGAGUUAAACUAUAAUUAAGUUAUGUGUUUUUUA
This is a long non-coding RNA of Helianthus annuus (common sunflower), 2470 nucleotides long. RefSeq lists it as uncharacterized. NCBI's taxonomy places the organism in Eukaryota, Viridiplantae, Streptophyta, Magnoliopsida, Asterales, Asteraceae. The record is from RefSeq and is a predicted model, not a curated record. The transcript is spliced from 7 exons.